UACGUAGGGGCUAGCGUUAUCCGGAUUUACUGGGCGUAAAGGGAGCGCAGGCGGUGACUUAAGUCUGAUGUGAAAGCCCACGGCUCAACCGUGGAAGGUCAUUGGAAACUGGGUCACUUGAAUAUAGAAGAGGAAAGUGGAAUUCCAUGUGUAGCGGUGAAAUGCGUAGAUAUAUGGAGGAACACCAGUGGCGAAGGCGACUUUCUGGUCUAUUAUUGACGCUGAGGCUCGAAAGCAUGGGUAGCAAACAGGAUUAGAUACCCCGGUAGU
Molecule: ribosomal RNA, 270 nt
Filed under: uncultured prokaryote
Description: partial 16S ribosomal RNA
Rfam family: Bacterial small subunit ribosomal RNA
Source: RNAcentral